RNAcentral lists this ribosomal RNA (459 nucleotides) under uncultured bacterium. Its description in RNAcentral is "partial 16S ribosomal RNA". It matches the Rfam family "Bacterial small subunit ribosomal RNA", at positions 338 to 795 of the family's 1533-position model. The record is from RNAcentral.
CCUACGGGAGGCAGCAGUGAGGAAUAUUGGUCAAUGGUCGGGAGACUGAACCAGCCAAGCCGCGUGAGGGAUGAAGGUACAGAGUAUCGUAAACCUCUUUUGUCAGGGAACAAAGUCGGGGACGCGUCCCCUUAUGAGUGUACCUUACGAAAAAGCAUCGGCUAACUCCGUGCCAGCAGCCGCGGUAAUACGGAGGAUGCGAGCGUUAUCCGGAUUUAUUGGGUUUAAGGGGUGCGCAGGCGGUUUGUUAAGUCAGCGGUAAAAGCCCGGGGCUCAACCCCGGCCCGCCGUUGAAACUGGCAGACUAGAGUUGGAGAGAGGUAGGCGGAAUGCGCGGUGUAGCGGUGAAAUGCGUAGAUAUCGCGAAGAACUCCGAUUGCGAAGGCAGCAUGCCGGGUCCACACUGACGCUGAGGCACGAAAGCGUGGGUAUCGAACAGGAUUAGAUACCCCUGUAGUC